This 602-nucleotide ribosomal RNA is filed under the name Diatrichalus mancus. RNAcentral's name for it is "partial 16S ribosomal RNA". It matches the Rfam family "Bacterial large subunit ribosomal RNA", at positions 1822 to 2713 of the family's 2925-position model. Lineage: Eukaryota; Metazoa; Arthropoda; Insecta; Coleoptera; Lycidae. The record is from RNAcentral.
CAUGUCCUUUUGAAAAUAAUUUAAGGUCUAAUCUGCUCAAUGAUUAAUUAAAUAGCCGCAGUAUUUUGACUGUGCAAAGGUAGCAUAAUAAUUAGUUUCUUAAUUAGGAACUGGUAUGAAUGAUUGGACAAGAAAAUUUCUGUCUCUUUUCUAAAUUUUUUGAAUUUUAUUUUUAAGUGAAAAAGCUUAAAUUUUUAUAAAAGACGAGAAGACCCUAUAGAGUUUAAUAUUCUUUUUUAAUGUAAGAUUAGAAUAUAAUUUUGGAAAAGUUUAUUUAGUUGGGGUGACUUAAAGAUUUGAAUAAUUCUUUAAUAAAUUAAUUGGUGAUUUCUAAAUUAAAAAUCUAUAAUUUAUAAAAUUAAAAUAAAUUACCUUAGGGAUAACAGCGUAAUUUUUCUUUAAAGUUCUUAUUAAAAGAAAAGUUUGCGACCUCGAUGUUGGAUUAAAAUUAAUUUUUGGUGCAGUAACUUAAAAAUUGGGUCUGUUCGACCUUUAAAAUUUUACAUGAUCUGAGUUUAAACCGGUGUAAACCAGGUUGGAUUCUAUCUUUAGAUAAUUUUUAUAUUUUAGUACGAAAGGACCAAAUAUAGAUUAAAUUAAUU